GAUUGAACGCUGGCGGCAUGCUUUACACAUGCAAGUCGAACGGCAGCGCGGGCUUCGGCCUGGCGGCGCGUGGCGAACGGGUGAGUAAUGCAUCGGAACGUGCCCAGUAGUGGGGGAUAGCCCGGCGAAAGCCGGAUUAAUACCGCAUACGACCUGAGGGUGAAAGCGGGGGACCGAAAGGCCUCGCGCUAUUGGAGCGGCCGAUGUCGGAUUAGCUAGUUGGUGGGGUAAAGGCUUACCAAGGCGACGAUCCGUAGCUGGUCUGAGAGGACGACCAGCCACACUGGGACUGAGACGCGGCCCAGACUCCUACGGGAGGCAGCAGUGGGGAAUUUUGGACAAUGGGGGCAACCCUGAUCCAGCCAUGCCGCGUGCGGGAAGAAGGCCUUCGGGUUGUAAACCGCUUUUGUUCGGGAAGAAAUCCUCUGGGCUAAUACCCCGGGGGGAUGACGGUACCGGAAGAAUAAGCACCGGCUAACUACGU
RNAcentral lists this ribosomal RNA (484 nucleotides) under uncultured bacterium. Its description in RNAcentral is "partial 16S ribosomal RNA". It matches the Rfam family "Bacterial small subunit ribosomal RNA", at positions 27 to 506 of the family's 1533-position model. The record is from RNAcentral.